This 43-nucleotide ribosomal RNA is filed under the name Magnaporthiopsis poae ATCC 64411. Its description in RNAcentral is "partial 18S ribosomal RNA". The record is from RNAcentral. Lineage: Eukaryota; Fungi; Ascomycota; Sordariomycetes; Magnaporthales; Magnaporthaceae.
AUUAAAAACCAAUGCCCUUCGGGGCUCGCUGGCUGAUUCAUGA